CAGCCUCCUCAGUCCUCCCCGACUCUUCACUCUCAAUCCCAAUCCCUUACUUGAAAAAUUGAUAAAAUCAUGAAGAGCCCAUAACUUUUCUCAAGAAUUUGGUUCUACAAGAGGCUAUUUGCAGAAAUUGGAGCAAGAUUAUAAGAGAGUUGGAGAGUUGUAGUUCGAUUUGAAGAAAAGGAGUUCAAGACUUCAAGAAAUUGCAGGUUGGUUUGUAGAACAAUCUGUAUUGGUUUACAUUUUAGCAAGAAAGUAUGUUCUUUGCUGGUAGCUCAUAUGCAUUUCAUUUCUCUAUCUCAUAUUCAUUUCCUCGUUCGGUCUCGCUAAGAUGGCAUGGUUGAUUAUUGAAUCUGCAGAAAUUGCUACGGGAAGGUUUAGCUAAUUUGAGUGACGGUCCUAGCUUUAGGAAAGUUUCUGUAAUGUAAACGUAUAUGUAAUUGUUCUGUUUGUUGGGCCUAUGGUCCCUCCUUAAUUAUGGUAUAGCUAGGACUGGAGAUUUUGUUGUUCUUGUUCAAUAAUUGUUAGGACAGGUAUAGCUUAUGGUAUAGCUAGGACUGGUAUAGCUUAUGGUCCCUCCUCAAUAAUUGUUCUUGUUUUUUGGUCUUUCAACUUUAAAUCUUUGGAUUUAUUUUAGGUUUGGUGAUUUUGUUGAAUCAUAUGGUUUUAGUACUUGUAAUUUAUACGUAA
Molecule: long non-coding RNA, 687 nt
Filed under: Rosa chinensis
Lineage: Eukaryota; Viridiplantae; Streptophyta; Magnoliopsida; Rosales; Rosaceae
Description: sRNA RchiOBHm_Chr2g0119171
Source: RNAcentral